This is a non-coding RNA of Pelobates cultripes (western spadefoot toad), 1228 nucleotides long. The record is from the annotation of a GenBank genome assembly. NCBI's taxonomy places the organism in Eukaryota, Metazoa, Chordata, Amphibia, Anura, Pelobatidae.
UUUUCAUUAUUACAAGGAGCAGGUACACUGAAUGUUUACCCGAUGGAGCAGGAGCUGAGAAGAACAUGCUUUCAGUCCCAUGAACUAGGGUGCAGGGAAUUAGACCCAAAAGACAGAGAACAGAUUGGAACAAGAGUCUAGGGUUUAUUUUCAACAAUUUAAACUGGCACAAAAAAUAAACAAACCCCAAUUUUUUAACUGUACAAAUGCAAAAAAAUUGUACUUUCUUUUAAUUUAUGUAAUGUAAAUGUGUUCACGUGAAACACUGCAAGAGACAAUAUGUUAACUUAAAUUUACUUGUCUGCAGUAAUUAUAUUAAACACCGGCAGAUGUAUACAUUUUAAGCAACAAUUAAAAACAAGGCACGUUUACAAUCUCCUGGAUAAAGAGCCCAUUGCAUUAAUAUCGCUGAUGUUAAUAGACAACAGUGCCAUUAAAAUACCAUGAAAACUUGGCUGCAUUACAAAGAAUGAUAUAUCAAAAGGCAGAACCCUCAUAUUGGAGGGGAUGUUUGGGAAUGGAGUUUAGGUAUUGGUACCCUUCUACUAUUUGUUUUAGGGGAUAAUGUGGCUCCUCGUGCUAGAUAAAUGAGGUUAGGUCACAUAUCAAGAGACAGGUUUAAGGAUGGAGUUAGGCGAGCACUAUGCUACAUUUUAGGGUAGAAUUAAGGGGACCUAGGUUUGGGGGUAUUAAGAAAUGUGAAGCAUCACUUGAUCUUAACAUAGUUUUACCACUAUUGAGAUAAAUCUUAUGGCUUUUUAACUUUUCAAACUAUUUUAUUACAGAAAUUAAAAGUUCCUGUUCCAAUUAUUACAACCUUUGUUAAAAAGAAAAACAAUUAUCCAUUCUUUCAGUGAACAAACAGAUUUCACUGAAUUAUUACAAAGGAAAACUGAGGACACUGCUCACAAAAUCCAAUAAAGUAUGAUGUGCGACAUUCGACCGAGACGGUAAAGAAACCGAUUGAAACAAGCAUCCUACAUUGUUUGAAGGUAUCAACCUAAAAUUUACCCUAACAGAAUUGUGUUUAACAAUUAACUCCACAUUUUAACUGUAUUGACUGUAAAAAAAUAUGACUUUCCUAUUCAGAACAAAAUAUCUGAUUUCCUCUCCACUAAAGCUCUGUACACGAUAAUUAUAUAGCUGUCUGUGUAAGCGCUGACCUGUGUAGUCUAAUUUCAUAAUUGAAACCUUAAAUGAAUACAUUGUUCUUUUUUCUCACUCUUUG